RNAcentral lists this ribosomal RNA (305 nucleotides) under uncultured bacterium. RNAcentral's name for it is "bacterial SSU rRNA". It matches the Rfam family "Bacterial small subunit ribosomal RNA", at positions 29 to 334 of the family's 1533-position model. The record is from RNAcentral.
AACGAACGCUGGCGGCAUGCCUAACACAUGCAAGUCGAACGAGAAACUCAGCUUCGGUUGAGUGGAGAGUGGCGCACGGUGAGUAACGCGUAGAUAAUCUACCCCUUAGUCUGGGAUAACCUUCCGAAAGGGAGGCUAAUACCGGAUAAAAAAUCAAAUCGAGUGGUUUGGUUUUGAAAGUUCCGAUGCUGGGGGAUGAGUCUGCGUCCCAUUAGCUAGUUGGUGAGGUAACAGCUCACCAAGGCGACGAUGGGUAGCGGGUCUGAGAGGAUAAUCCGCCACACUGGCACUGAGACACGGGCCAG